UAUUAUCCAAUUUUUAAAAUUAUUUAAUUUUAAUCAAUAGGCAAUAUUUUGACUUUAAAAUUUAAAUAAAUUACUUAUAUUAAUAAAUUUACAGUUGUAAGAAUCUUAUAAAAUAUACUAAUUAAAUUUGUAAAGAUAAAUGAUGCAUUCGCAUUUUAAAGUUAAAAUAAAAUAAGUUAUUUUUAAAUUAUUCAAAUCAAAUAAAUUGAAAGAUUAGAUUGUAAAAUUUAAAUUCUAAAAAGUUGGAUUGUCAAAACAAAAUGAUUUAUAGU
RNAcentral lists this long non-coding RNA (272 nucleotides) under Ananas comosus (pineapple). RNAcentral describes it as "long non-coding RNA (ACOM_LNC018270)". Lineage: Eukaryota; Viridiplantae; Streptophyta; Magnoliopsida; Poales; Bromeliaceae. The record is from RNAcentral.